Molecule: ribosomal RNA, 250 nt
Filed under: uncultured Oscillospiraceae bacterium
Lineage: Bacteria; Bacillati; Bacillota; Clostridia; Eubacteriales; Oscillospiraceae
Description: partial 16S ribosomal RNA
Source: RNAcentral
GGAGUUUGGGCCGUGUCUCAGUCCCAAUGUGGCCGUUCAUCCUCUCAGACCGGCUACUGAUCGUCGCCUUGGUGGGCCCUUACCCCACCAACUAGCUAAUCAGACGCAGGCCCAUCCUUCAGUGACCGGUUGCCCGGCCUUUGGUAUCCCGGUCAUGCGACCAGCAUACGUCAUUCGGUAUUAGCACCCCUUUCGAGGUGUUGUCCCCAUCUGAAGGGCAGGUUGCCUACGCGUUACUCACCCGUUUGCC